This 460-nucleotide ribosomal RNA is filed under the name uncultured bacterium. RNAcentral describes it as "partial 16S ribosomal RNA". It matches the Rfam family "Bacterial small subunit ribosomal RNA", at positions 338 to 795 of the family's 1533-position model. The record is from RNAcentral.
CCUACGGGAGGCUGCAGUGAGGAAUAUUGGUCAAUGGCCGGAAGGCUGAACCAGCCAAGUAGCGUGAGGGAAUAAGGCCCUAUGGGUCGUAAACCUCUUUUGUAAGGGAGUAAAGGGGUCCACGUGUGGCCGUGAGGAGAGUACUUGUAGAAAAAGCAUGGGCUAACUCCGUGCAAGCAGCCGCGUUAUUACGGGGGAUGCGAGGGUUAUCCGAUUUUAUUGGUUUAAAGGGGUGCGUAGGCGGAGUUUCAGGUCGGCGGUAAAAUUUGGGGGCUCAACUCCGUCGUGCCGUUGAAACUGGCGGCCUUGAGUGAGUGAGAGGUAAGCGGAAUGCGUGGUGUAGCGGUGAAAUGCAUAGAUAUCACGCAGAACGCCGAUUGCGAAGGCAGCUUACCGGCGCGCAACUGACGUUGAGGCACGAAAGUGCGGGUAUCAAACAGGAUUAGAUACCCUUGUAGUC